This 309-nucleotide ribosomal RNA is filed under the name uncultured bacterium. Its description in RNAcentral is "partial 16S ribosomal RNA". It matches the Rfam family "Bacterial small subunit ribosomal RNA", at positions 504 to 809 of the family's 1533-position model. The record is from RNAcentral.
AGAGACAUCAGCCGCCACGGUAAUACGAAGGGGGCUAGCGUUGUUCGGAAUUACUGGGCGUAAAGCGCACGUAGGCGGACUUUUAAGUCAGGGGUGAAAUCCCGGGGCUCAACCUCGGAACUGCCUUUGAUACUGGAAGUCUUGAGUGUGGAAGAGGUAAGUGGAAUUGCGAGUGUAGAGGUGAAAUUCGUAGAUAUUCGCAGGAACACCAGUGGCGAAGGCGGCUUACUGGUCCACAACUGACGCUGAGGUGCGAAAGCGUGGGGAGCAAACAGGAUUAGAUACCCGCGUAGUCCCUGUCUCUUAUAA